RNAcentral lists this ribosomal RNA (253 nucleotides) under uncultured bacterium. RNAcentral's name for it is "partial 16S ribosomal RNA". It matches the Rfam family "Bacterial small subunit ribosomal RNA", at positions 524 to 776 of the family's 1533-position model. The record is from RNAcentral.
UACGUAGGGGGCAAGCGUUGUCCGGAUUUACUGGGUGUAAAGGGCGCGCAGGCGGAAUGAAAAGUCAGUGGUGAAAUCCUACAGCUUAACUGUAGAACUGCCUUUGAUACUUUCAUUCUUGAGUUCGGGAGAGAGAGACGGAAUUCCAGGUGUAGUGGUGAAAUACGUAGAUAUCUGGAAGAACACCAGUUGCGAAGGCGGUCUCUUGGUCCGACACUGACGCUGAGGCGCGAAAGCGUGGGGAGCAAACAGG